RNAcentral lists this long non-coding RNA (12470 nucleotides) under Homo sapiens (human). RNAcentral's name for it is "HSALNT0078311". The record is from RNAcentral. Lineage: Eukaryota; Metazoa; Chordata; Mammalia; Primates; Hominidae.
CAUCAGCAAGCUGUCCUUCCUGUUUUAUCACAAGAUUCCUGUAGCAGAUUGAGCUCUGGCAGUUGAUCUCAGUGGCUUGAUAGAGUGUCAUUAUAAAAACGCACCUGGAAGAUUCUGUGGAAAAGACAACCUCAGAAGACCAAGGUGAAUCCAAGGCCUGAUCUGGACUCUUAAUGGGUGGUUAAAUUCUAGUUCCUUUAAAUAAGCAUCAAAGACGCCACAAAACCACAGAUAAAGCUGCCAUAGACAGCUAUAUUUGGGACUCAUUUAUCAUUUGUCACAAGCAUUUCAUCCUCUUGCAAUAUUUUUUUCUACUUAGUACUUCUACAAGAAGGAAUCUGCCCACCACUCAAGCCUGGGAAAGCUGGCAGAGGAUGCACGUGUUUUACUCACCUGAGUGUUUACAAUGCUCGUGAGGUGCCUCCCUGAUAUUUUUAUAGCAGAAUGGAGAAACACAACCAAGGAGAUACACCUAAGUAACAACAGCAAUGAUGUCAAAAAGAGUGCCUGAAUACUUAGGGUGGAGGUCCUGGACAUGCAAACCCAAGCUUCCUCUUUGCUGUGGCCAGGAAUCUGCAGUGAUUGAGAGCACAGACUGUAUCUAAAAUUCCACCUUUCAAAGUUCAGCAUAUUACUUUUUUUUUUCUUACACCUAUAAGUACAGAGGAAUGAAGAAGGAAUAAACAGACCUUCUGGAUAAUUGCAUCAGCCUUCCCCACUAUUCCAAUGCCAUGCUAACAUUUCAAGUAAUGUCCCUUUUGUCUUGCUGAGAAAAAAUCAUUUCAUGAUUUAUUACACUGGAUUAAAGGCUAUGCACACUCUGGAGUUGGAACAUGACUGAAGGGCAAGCAAGCAUAAAGGAUAUCAGAAACAGUUGAUGUGUUUAAAUUUUUCUGAAUUUCUCAAGUAAACUUUUUAGAAAGUAGUCUGAAGAUAAAAUGGUUAUAUAAGUUACUUAAACUGUAGAUGAUGGCACCUUUAUCCCUAUAUAAUAAAAUUAAGGUAAGAAUUAGUUCUACAAAAAGCUUUCUCUUUUAGAGAUUUCUGUUUUAUCAGAUUACUGUUUGCCAAAGUGAAUUUCAUAAUAUGUGACUUUUUUUCAGUAUCAUUGAUUGUCAUUGAGCUUGAGAGCCUGAGUUUUUGCUGAAAUUGUUCCAAUGCACAGAAAAUGCCAUAAAAUUGAGCCUACCGUGGGUUUUUUUUUUUUUUUUUGGAUAUUACCUACACUUGUAGAAAAUCAAAGUUUAUUCUAGUCUUUGUAUGCUCUGCAUAUCUGAAAUACAAGAGGGGCUUCUGUCAGUCUGGAAGUGAUGAUAUUUGAUUUCUCAUUUCUUACUAUGGUCUCUCUCCAGAUAAGUAAGUUAGCUAAUUCAUCUACUUGAUCCUCAAUUAAUGGCCUUCUUGAUUAAAUAAGAAGAUGACAAGGUUUCUCCUUAAUAUGAAAUUUAAAUUACACAGAGCAAAAAAAAAUUGUAUUAAUCUUUAAUACCUCCCAUGGAGACUUGAAUUCUUCACUAUACAGUCCAAUAAAUGGAAUAUUUAAAUAUUUAAAGGUUCCAGCAAAAAGUUCCAGCCAGCUGUACUGUUCUAAUAACAAGGUCUAUCAACUUUUUUUUAACUGAGCAAUUUUAUGAUAUUUUGUGAAGAGAAAGAAAAAACCUGCUUAGCCAGCCAGUUACCUGCUUACUUAAGGCAGAUUAUUUAUCCUAGAGGUCCCAUUGUCUAAGGCAGAUUAUGUAUCCUAUUGUCUUCUACUGACAUUCAUUUCUAUUCAUCAUUUAUAAACUUUAUUGAAACAUAAUUUCAAAAUAAAAAGAUAUGCCAUCAUCAUCACCAACAAAAUUAUGUUGAUGAUAGAAAUCUUAUUGUUUUCUCAGACUUAAUCUAUCCUCAAAAUAUAAUUUUCAAAACAUUUAAAGACUUGAUUCUUUUACAAGUUGAGAGAGGAUGAGUCAACAAUUUAUUUAAUUAAUGAUGAAAACAAUAGGAUUGUAAAACUGAUUCAUAAAUUUAUAGAUAAGACAGAAGUAUUUAUAGUCCCUGAAAGACAUAAUAUUGAUAUAGGAUUGUUAAAUUAAAUAGAAAGCUAGUACCCUUCAAGGAUUUGUGGGUGUAGCUUUUGACUGACAGAAUAAAACUCAGAUUCACAAAAGGCCGGAGAGUUUUUUUGGGAGAAUUAUAUCAUCAGAAACACUAUCAGCCACCAGCUUGCACUGUAAGUGAGAAAGACAGUACAGAAUGAAAGGGGGUCAUUGAACUCCCAGAAAACAGGCUUAGAAAAUGAUUCAACUGCAAACAUGUGCUAGCUUUCUUGAAAAAAAGGGGCUAAAUAUUUGUUGCUUAGUGUUGUGAAGUUUGGGGGGUAAUUUAAGCAGUAGAUAAUUAAGACACAAUGAAAGGUUAAAUGUUAUAUUCGAAAUAGGUGUUUUACACACAAUUUAGAAAUGGAGAUAAGAAAAGUAUGCAGAUAUCGAUAACACAAGUAAAGUAAGAUAAAUGUCACAAGAGAAAUUCACAGCAAGUCUAUGUCAACUUGUUGAAAGAGUGAGCAAAGAGCAUUCCUGGCCAUAUUGAUUAGAACCAGGCAAGAUGUUAUGCAAGAAGAAAUAAUUGAAAACACAGGAAUUGAAUUUGAAACCUAACAAUUAGAAGUUGUGUGAUCCACAGCUGGUCAACUGCCUUUACUUGUUUCUCUGAACGAGAAUCCCUCAUGAGGAUUAAAUAGGCCAAAGGUACAUGCUUUUUUAUCCAGGGUGGUCUACUUUCAUGCCAUUUUCCCAGCAAAUAUAUUAAAAGUGCCCUCUUUUACUCUCAGUGAAGUCUUGCUUUGGAUGAUGAAUUAUAUGGUUACCUGAGGAUUGGUUCAAAUAAUGCAUAGGCAAUUUUAAAAAGUGAUACUAAACAAAAAAAAAAAACCCACCAAAAUUUUACACUUUGCAAGAAACAUAAUUAAUUUUAAUAAAUUUUAUCACAAAGUUACCCUUUGCACUUACAUACAAGUAUGAACAGAGGCUUCAUAUACUUACAUAUAUCAAUGUAUAUAUGAGCAUAUUUAUACUAUACACCCCAAAACAUAUAAAAAUAGAAAGCAUGUUUGCAUAACAGUUUAGAAAGAUUAAUCUGACGGUGAUGAGUCAUAAUUCAGAGUAAGGAAAAAGAUAUUGCCUCAAGUUUGGUAUUGGAUUUUUCCAUUUCACACACAAGAUUGAUGAAUUUCUGUCUAAUGGGGUAUAAUAUAUGAAAUCAGAUAUAUCAUAACAUAUCUAUGGUUAUGUCUCACCCACCAUAAAUUAUUUAAAAGGGAAGCAAAAUCAAUAAAACAACAAAAAGCUCAACUUUAAACACAAUCAUCUGGGGUAACUAGAGGAGCAAUGGGAAUAGCAACUGAAGGAUAAUUGGUCACAACUGUUUUCAUCAAAUAUAUUUUUGGUGCAGAGAAAAACUAUUUUCCUUAUUCCCAGAGCGAGUAAGAAUGCAGAGACAUGAAUACUUUGGUUGGGAUUUGGAAAAUAUAGUCAAACUUUAACAACUUUAUACAACAGUUCUUAAAAAUGUAUUAGUGUCAAACUCACCCUUUAGUGACGAAGAGGAGUGACAGCUGUCUUCGCACAGCUGAUUGCAGAGAAUAGUGUGUGCAACGUCAUUGCAGGUACUACUUCAGGGUGAUUCAUUGGAAAUCUGUCUUGAGAAUUAAAACAUUAACCAGAACUUUUAAUACAAUUUUUAAGCUAAAGAAAAAUUCAUUGGCUUGAGGCACUUUUUCAGAACAGGGAUUUAACGCUCUGGCAAGGGCCUGAGGAUGAGGCAACCUUGCUGCUAACGCAGCUUCUUAGAAGCCUAAAUAAAUUGAUAACCCAAAAUCAGGGCAGUGAAAAUACCUGUGUUGACCUGGCAGAGAAAGUAAAAAAAAAGCUCAGAUGUGGACAUCCUGAAAUGUAUGUACUAGGUGAGGCCAUAACACUUAUGAGAGAAUUAUGUUCCAGGGAGGACCCAGAGGACAAUCUAAUCACCAAGGGCAUCAGGAAAGCACUGGAUAGAAGGCCAGCAGCAUUGCUGAGAAAUCCAGCGGUGGCUGUGCUCUGCAGACAGAGCCACCCACCUCAAGGGUCAUGUUACAUUUCUAUUGUUCUAACAAUUACAACUAACCAAUUCAUAACUUAAAGGCAAUUCUUACACUCAGUGAUUUUCUCAAAAUUGAGGUUUAAGCCUGAGUUGUACUAAAUUAAUAGUAUGAAUGUAUGUGCUGCUUAAAGAAAGCAAUUGCUUUUCUCUUUGUGCUCAUGUAUUACUUGUCUUCGAGAAAACUGUAUUCUGCAUAAAGUGUAAUGUUCUGCGUGGUCAGAAAGGUUUAGUAGAAUGAGCACAGGCUCUCAAAUCAGAAAGAAUUGUAAUUUUGGCUAUAAAAAGUUUUGAAUUUUAAAUUAUAUUAAUAUAUUAAGCUCUUACACUUAUUGAAUGCAUAUUAUGUGCAGAUAACUCUUCUGGGCACUUUAUUUGGAAUUAAUUAUUUAAUCCUCAUAACAACGCCAUGAAGAUCAUACUAUUACCAUCCAAAGUUUACUGAGGAAGAUACUGAGGCAAGGUUGGUGACUAGUAACAUGACCACAUUUGCUGUGGAUAGGUCAAUCCAGGACAUCUGACUUCAAAACUUGCAAUCUUAGCCAUAUGAUAAUUUGCAUCUUUAUUUUGAUUCAUGAUUCUAAGAAAUGUUCAUUGAGCUCUUACGCUGUUACAGACCCCACAGAAGCAGCAAGUAAUGGAAUUAAAAAAAAUCUCUUCUCUCUUGGAGCUGACAUUAUAGUGGGAAAUGGAAAUAAUUAGAAGAUUGUUGUCAUAUUAAAAUAUACAAUCCAUUGUGCCUGAAACUAUGGAGGCUAAAAUGGAUAGCUUGCUUCCUUGAAAUCUUAGGGAAAAGAUGAUUAAUGUUUGCCAAAGAAUUGAAAGGCCCAAAUUGAGAAUAACUGGAGUCCUUAAACUUGCCAUUUUGCAUUCUAGCAAAAUCAUACAUCUUUGAUUUAAUAAUUAGAAGGGAAGCAAGCUACUGCUCCUUUGUGUAUAAUUACAAGCUUGUUGCAGGCAAAUAAUUCUGUAUAUUAACAACUUUUUCACAUUUUUGGUGAAUCAUUAUCUCUUCAGUUUCUGACAUUAUAACAGCUAUCAUAUUUGUAUACUUUCUAUCAAAUUUGCCUUGAUAUGAAGGGGUUUUACAAACUUAUUGAUCAUUUAUGCCAUGUAUAGUGUUAUUGGGGAUAUAACAAAAAUAAAAAACUGUUUUGGUCCUCAAUAGAUUUACAAUCCAAAGCAGAGUGGGAGGAAGAGACCUACAAGACCAUGUUUCAUUGGAUAGCUUUGGAGUAAUAUCUAUAAUUUUAGAAAAAAGUUAAGAGGAAGAAGAAACUGGUGUCAGCUACACUUAGAAGAUUUUACAACAGAGACUGGCUUCCAUUCACUGAUCAGACAUUCACUGAUUUUUAAUUCUUACCACCAGAGAAAAAGUUGUUAUGAUGAGGGUCCUCAGGAAAGACAAUACAGUCAGCCGAGAAAUACAAUUUUCUUUGUCUACUGUUGUUUCCUUUACACGGACCAUUGAAAUAUAUACUUAACCACCAGCAAAACUCCUAUUAAACACAAGUAAAAAAAAAUCACUACAUGCAAAAGAGUGAACACCAGGCAAAGUGAUAAUUUAUGAAUUUCCAGGAUUUUUGUUGUAAUUUACCCGUGUAAGUUUACAAUAAAUGAUUGAUGUAACUAAAUUUAUGGAUUGCAAUUAAUUACUAGGUUUGUACCACAGAUGAAGUAAUAUAUAUAUUGUCUAAUUUAAUAAUGAUUUGUCUACAGAAUUCAACCAACUGCUCAUUACAGAAUCUGAUGAACCUACCUUUAGACUACCUGUUAUCUUAACUACCUGUGAAGAUACUAUAUAUGAUGUAAUAGGUUUAACAAAUAAUGAAGGACCUUUUGUCCUUGCUUGACUCAAGAAGGGAUGGAGGGUCUCCAAGAAAUAUAAAUGUAGUCUGCUAUAAUGGGUAUUAGCUAGAUUAGUACUUCAGAAAAGGAAGAAUUAUUUUCAUUAUCAAAUGAUUAUUUGAUAUUUCCAUUCUGCAUUCUAAGCACAUAUUAGUUGAUGUACAGGUGCUGCUGGAUAACUGUUUGGAAACAGACCACAAAAUCGCUCCAAAAGGUAAAAUUCUCAAAUAACAGAGUUGUCAUGGUUGUAAAAAAAAGGUAUGAUAAAUACAUAAAAGCUGGCAAAAAUGGGGAAGGAUUAAAACUGUAACCUUAGUUAUCCUUCAGUAAACAUAGUUAAGUAGAAUGAAGCAGAUGUUUAUUCUGGUAGAUUCUAUUGCAAUGUUACAUUUUAACUUAAUAUUUCUAUUUUGUGAUUUAUUUUUAGUAUAGCAAAAUGUUUGGUUAAUAUUGUGGGUAUUGAUACUGUGUUAAAAUUUGUGACAGUCUAUUUAAUUUUUCAAUAUGAAGAAGUAUUACUGCUAUGAUGAAAUAUUUACUGUUGUGGUGGAAAUAAAUAAGAAAAUAGAAUUGACUAAAAGCAAAACAAACCAAUAAAAAAAGAAAAAAAGUCUGUUAUUUAUCAACAAAACAUUAGGAAAUUUACAUGCUUAAAGUAAACUUUGAUUCCCUAUUCCAAAGUGCCUUAUAUAUUCUACUCUCUUUGCUUUCACAUAAAUUUAUUCUAUGCUAUAAUGUAACUGGUAUACUAUUAAGUCCCAUACAUAUGUUACAUUGAACCAUACAUUUUUCUAUUCCAGGAAAGAGAAUUUUCUCAUUUUUUCCACCACUACCAUCCACCACAAUGACCACUAUUUUUCUCUUCACUUAAAAAGUAUCAUUUAUCUAAAGUUAAUGGCAUAGUUUCAGACUUCUCAUGUGUCCAAGCAUAUGAAUUAACAGUUCCUAUGUUAUUGUCCUAAGAUUUGUAGGUUAAACCUUGGAUAUUCCCAUCUGAGCAUCUGUACCAAACAGAAAAGACCUGUGUGAGUUCCUGAGAACCAGUGCUCAUUCCAGAAGAGACAGGUUUCUCUCCAGGAAGAAAUGUCUGAAAUUCAGUGAAUUAAAAUCCUCAUUGAGUCUUCCUACUCUUUACUUCUCCCUGGAAAAACUGGUUACGAAAAUUUAAUAUUCUGUCAUGAUAAGAUCAAGCUCUAUCAGAUCAGCCAUACAUAUCAAGUACAUUUUGACAAACUUGAUUCAUACUGUUUUCAAAUUAUGAACAACCAAGGCUCUUCUAUCCAAAAAUAUUGAUUAUUUAAUUCUGAAUAUCAUUACAGAGCAGUAAUAUGCUCUCAGCAUUUGGGGAUACAAGAGUCAGAAGAUGGACAAGCUUCCUUCCUAACAACAAUUACCACUUAAUUACAAUAUACCAAGUAGUAUUUUAUCUGCUAGGUAUAUUGGACUUACUUUUCACAGAUAGUUUAUACUAACAAAAUUUCUAACCAAAAUAUUUCUUGAAAAUUACUGAUUUUAUUUGAAAUUAUGUGCAGGAAAAAUACAAGCAUAUCUCUGAAUUUCUAUUUGUCUGUUAAACAAAAGGGGAUAAAUAUGACUAAUGUCAUUUAACAAGAGGAAUUACAGACUAUGAAAAGAGUAGCUUAUUUAUAUCAACUCACAAUACUUUCCAGAGAGAGAAAGAAAAAGGCUAUUAUGUGGCCUGAACAAGAAGUUGGCCAUCCUUUUCCCUUUCUUUGUGGAAGAUGGUCCUGAUAGGAUAGAGACUUAAAGAAGGGAUUGAUUUGUUUUCUCCAGCUGUCCUAAUAGUGAGUGAAUAAAAUUAACUGUGAACUAUUUCAAUCAAUAACUCAAUGAUUGACUUACAUUGAUUAGAAAAGAGCUGAUUCUUUGCCAUGGAUAUCUAGAUACCUUGAUGAUCCUAUUUUGAACCAAUUUAAAAGUAGGACAAUACCCACUGGAUGGAAGUUUCAAAACCUGAAAACAAUAAAACCCACAAGAUUUUAUUUCUUUUAAUAACUUCUGUGACAAUGAAAUUGAAGUCUUACACACUUUUUUUUUUUUUUACUCCAGUGUCUUGUUAUCUGGAGCAAAAUUCAGAAAGGAGAGCAACUAUGUAAAAAAGUAAGAAUUUUGGCUUGCUAUGCCAUUCUUAGAGGUUUCUUUUAUCUUUAUAUUUUCUUGAAAUGUCUUGUGUAAAAUUUAAACAACUUCCUGUACUAUAAAUAAGAUAUUUUGAAGGCAAGCAUAUGCAUAGAUAAUACUUUAGAAAAGAAUUGUGAUUCCAAUUCUGUACUUAGCACUUAAUAUUAAAAGUUUCUUAUAGUGAAUAUAAUUUUCUACAACAGAUAGUACAAUUUUGUUUCACCAUUAACAGGUAAAUAAGUAAAUAUACAUUUAAAUAAAUAUUAUAAAGUUCAUUUGUUAAUUAAUACAAACAUUAUAAAUUAUUGAAUACUUUUUCCAAUGGACAAGCAGCUUUAAAAACCUGCUUUCACCACUUUAUUUAUUUAUUUUUUUUUGAGACAGAGUCUCGCUCUGUCGCCUAGGCUAGAGUGAUCUCGGCUCACUGCCAGCUCUGCCUCCCGGGUGCACGCCAUUCUCCUGCCUCAGCCUCCCAAGUAGCUGGGACUACAGGCACCCGCCACCACACCCGGCUAAUUUUUUGUAUUUUUUUAGUAGAGACAGGAUUUCACCGUGUUAGCCAGGAUGGUCUUGAUCUCCUGACCUCGUGAUCUGCCCACCUCAGCCUCCCAAAGUGCUGGGAUUACAGGCAUGAGCCACCGUGCCCGGCCUUUUUUUGGUAUUUUUAGUAGACAUGGGGUUUCACCCUGUUAGCCAGGAUGGUCUCGAUCUCCUGACCUCGUUAUCCACCCGCCGCGGCCUCCCAAAGUGCUGGGAUUACAGGCAUGAGCCACCGUGCCAGGCCACUUUCACCACUCUUAAUCCUCUGAGGUGAAGAGGUCUUUUAAACUAUAGUUUGUAUAACUGAAAAUCAAAAGAAAAAAGUUUUAAUGAAGUUUUUGUAAUUAGUAAGAAACAUAAGGGAAUACCAAAAGCAAACUUUUUUGAAUGCUUACUUUUGGGGAAGCAUUGAAUUUUAUAUCUGGUAUAUGAUAAUUCAUAUCUUAGGAUAUGCUCCCCUUUCUAUAAGUAGGAAUUAGGAAACACGGAGAGGUGAAUUUUUUGCUCAUGAAUGAAUUUACCCAUUAGGCAUUUUUGAGAGGUAUCAGUAGUCAGCAGUUAUCACUUUCUUCUACUCUUCAUAUUGCUAGAGACAUAGUGACUCCAUGUCUUAUAGAAUGUUCAUUUUCUCUUUCACUUAUCCCAUAUCAUGUGCCAGCUAUUGAUCCAAUCAAUUUUAACAAUGAAAGUUCUAAACCAGGAACCAUUUACACUGGAUCUUACAUUUGCCCUGGGUAAGAUGGCAGUUGAUGGCAGUGUCCACGUGCAUCAGGAAGAAGUCUUCAUUAGCUUCAUGAUUUAAGUCCUUAAAUGUAAUUUUAUCACAGAAAACAUAACCUAUAUUCAAGCCUUAACCUUAACUUAGUCCUCAUAUUCAUUGUUACCCUUACCAAGUUUUUCUUAAUUGUAUGCCUAGCAUGCAAAUGAUACGGACAGGAGACAGGGAAAUACAGGGUAGAAAAGGGCAGUUCCCCAGCAAAGGCCCCACCCUCAAGCCUGAAAAACCAUGGCCCUAAAUGAGGACAGGCAUUCCUGUUGUCACACCCAAAAAGUUGCCUUUUGGCCUGCCAUGCCCCAUAUCCUGUACCCAUAUAAAUCCCGAACCCCACGCUCCAGAAGCAGAUGAGCAGGUGAGGAAAUGAGGAGUCAAACAGAUGGAUAGUAGAACGACACAGCAAAGAAAGAAGAGGAAUGUCUGAAUACCAAGAGGAGUUCAGCUGGGGGCAGUUAGGGAGAGGUUUGGAGACUGGCCAGUUUCCAGGGGAAGAUCACCUUCCUAUUCUAUCCCCUCCUUCUGCCUCCUCAUCCAGCGCACUGAGAGCCACCUCCACCACUCAAUAAAAACCUUGCAUUCAUCCUUUAAGCCCGUGUGUGACCUGAUUCUUCCAGGACGGUGGGUAAGAGCUCAGGAUACUGAAAGCUGUCACACUGGCUCUCUGCGCUUGCGAAAAGGCAGAGGGUCCAUUGAGCUGGUUAACACUUAAAAUCAUCUGCAGACAGCAAGGCUAAGAGAGCAUCAGUUAACACUGUGGCUGCAGGCACCCACCCCAAGACACUGCCGUGUGACCAGAGAACACAGUGCUUGCUCCAGCCUCUGCACCCACCUGUCUGCAUGAUCCCUCUCCCUCAAGGGUUUUGAGCAGCAGUGGUGACCAAAUAGCCAAGCCACUCCCCUGUUGCAAGUCCUGAGAGGGGGAUCAGGGAACUCUCCCAUUUCACUUAGGCAGGGAAGGGGUAAGACUAUGGGAUGGACUAAGAAUGUAGAUUUUACAUAUCACUUGGUAAUUUGUUACAAAUUAUUUGGUAAUUUUUUUUUCUUUUUGAGACAGAGUCUUGCUCUGUUGCCCAGAGCCGGAGUGAAUGGCCAGUCUUGGCUCACUGCAACCUCCACCUCCUGGGUUCAAGCAGUUCUCCUGCCUCAGCCUCCCGAGUAGCUGGGAUUACAGGUGUGCGCCACCAAGCCCUGGCUAAUUUUUGUAUUUUUAGUAGAGAUGGGGUUUCACCAUGUUGGCCAGGCUGGUCUAGAACUCCUGACCUCAUAAUCCACCCACCUCAGCCUCCCAAAAUGCUGAGAUUACAGGCAUAAGCCACCGUGCCCAGCCUACUUGGUAAUUUUUAAAAGCUACAGGUUUAAUAGUUAAUUUCUCAAGCAAAUAAAAGAUGUUCCCAACUCCAAACUGCUUUAUUAAAUAAUUUAACCUAAUUAAAUAGAAUCCUGAUCAUGGACCAUAUAGUUUAUUAUCCAAACUGGAGCCACAGGCAGUAGACAGGAUUGAACCAGACAAUCCUGCAAGAUCACCCACCCUCCUUCAAAGAGAUAUUGUCUGUGAGUGGACAUUAUCCUCACAGCCUUAUACCUCUUUUUUCCAAUGGACAAUUGCAUAUGAAAUGACAGCAGAAAAAUUAAAAAACAGGGCAUCCCCAAGGGCAAAAUAAUGUAGGCCCAACUCAACACAUCAAAGAUGAAAAACUGCAGAAUAUAGCACUCCUCCAACCUGAGCUGUAAAAAGUUAUAUUCUUCAAAUAAUUUUCACUACCACUCUAUAUAACCAUGUUAAAUACAUUAGCACAACAUACUGAUGAAAAUAAAUGUCUUCCAAGAUUUGCACAUAAAUGCAAAGAGGAUCGUAAUCAUUACUUUUAAGAGAUUUGGGGUCAGUUGGUGUGUGUAUAGGGGAGUGUGUUUUAUUGUGAUAUAAUUCAAAAACCAUACAACUGAACAGUUUAAUAUAUUAGCAGAGUUCUGCAACCAUCACCACUAUCUAAUUAUAGAAGAAUUUCAACACCUCAAACACAAACUCCAUACCAUUUAACAAUCACUCUUAAUUCUUCAUUCUCCCCACUCCCAGGCAAACACAAAUCUACUUUCUGUCUCUGUGGUUUUGCCUGUUCCGGACAUUUCAUAUAAAUGAAAUCAUACAAUGCCUUUUCUGGCUGAAUUCUUUUUACAAUAUAAUAAUUUCAAGGUUCAUUCAUGUUGUAACACGUAUCAGUACAUCAUUCCUUUUUAUUUCUGAAUGAUAUUGAAUUAUAUGGACAUACUACAUUUUGUUAUCCACUCAUCAGUUGCUGGACAUCUGUAUUAUUUCCAUUUCUGAGGUAUUAUGUGUAACACUGCUAUGGACAUUUAUGUGGAAUUUUUUGUGGACAUAUGUUUUCACUUCUCUUGGAUAUAUACCCAGGAGUGUAAAUUGCUGGUCAUAUUGUCUCUGUUUUAUAAUACAUUUUGAGGAACUGCCAAACUGCUUUCCAAUGUGACUUCACCACUUUAAAAUCCCACAGCAAUAUAUGAUAAUUACAAUUUCUCCAUAUCCUCACCAACAUUUGUUAUCAUCUGUUUUUUUUAUCUGAGCCGUCCUAGUGAGUAUAAAGUGGUAUCUCAUUAUAGUUUUGAUUAGCAUUUCCCUUCUGGCUAAUGAUGCUGAGUAUCUUUUCAUGUGUUUCUUAGCCAUUUGCAUAUUUUUCCUUGAAAACAGUCUAUUAAGAUAUUUUUCCUUAUUUUUGAAUGGGUUAUUUGUUUUUUCACUACUGAAUUGUAAGAGUAGUUUCUUUAUGCUAAAUACAAGAGCUGUAUCAGUUAUAUGUUUUGCAAUUGUUUUCCCUUUUACUGGAUUGUUAUAAUAAAGAGUCUGACUCCAUUAUUGAUGUGUGACUCUUGGCAGCUUUUAAAACCCCAUCCUAAUGUCUUCCCCUUCUGUCCCGCACUGGACCAUGAUGAUAAGAAAGUCUGGGUUUUCCCACCUUUGGCACUGAAGGGAAGUUCAAACCACACAGGGGGACCCUCAGCCCAGCCUCAUCUUAUAACCCCCAUAAAACCCCCA